RNAcentral lists this long non-coding RNA (752 nucleotides) under Olea europaea subsp. europaea. Lineage: Eukaryota; Viridiplantae; Streptophyta; Magnoliopsida; Lamiales; Oleaceae. The record is from RNAcentral.
AGGCGAUGAGUCUUCUGGGUUUUUCUCUCAGUGUUUUAGGCGAUGAGUCGAAUGGAUUCAAGUACUAUAAUAAUCAGUAAAUUAUCCGAAAAACGGGUGAGUCACUUUUUUACAAUAACUUCUAUAAUAACUUUAGCUAUAUGAUUAUUAAUUUUGUUAUUCAUUCAUACACUGACGAAGUAUUGUUUAAAUUCAGGGUUUUGUUCUCUGGUCCAACUGAUGAUCAAAUUGGGUUUCACUGGAUUUGUUUUUGUGAAUUUACCGAGGUUUUUCAUUUAAUGGUUCUUUCUGCAAUUCUGACCGUUGUCUCCUGGUUUUUUCAUCAAGUAGAACUAGACAAGGAUUUUGAAGAUGGAUUCAAGUGCUGUUCUAGAGUAACAGAGAAUUAAGUUAAUAAUAAGAUACUUAACAAAAAUCAGAUCAGUCACAUUUUCACGAUAAUUUCUCUAAUUUCUUUGAGUAUAUGAUGAUAAAUGGGGUUUCAACGGAUUCUGUUUUUGUGAAUUCUCUGGGUGUUUUUAUUGAAUCUCUAAGUUUUCGGAUUCAACAAUUAUGUUCUCUCUUGUUUCUAUAAUUUCUUUAUCUUUACAAUAGUGUUCUUUGUUGGUUCAUUGGGAUGAAUCUUGUAAGUUAUUUUCUGGAUUGAAUUGAUGAUCAAUUUUGGGUUUCAGAAUAAUUAUUUCUGUGAAAUCUCUGUGGGUUUUUGCUGGAUCUUUUAUGGUUUGUUUUUGGUGUUUCAUUUUUAUUCAAUG